This 1127-nucleotide ribosomal RNA is filed under the name uncultured bacterium. Its description in RNAcentral is "bacterial SSU rRNA". It matches the Rfam family "Bacterial small subunit ribosomal RNA", at positions 215 to 1356 of the family's 1533-position model. The record is from RNAcentral.
UCGGUGAAGGAUGGACUCGCGGCCUAUCAGUUUGUUGGUGAGGUAAUGGCUCACCAAGACGAUGACGGGUAGCCGGCCUGAGAGGGCGACCGGCCACACUGGGACUGAGACACGGCCCAGACUCCUACGGGAGGCAGCAGUGGGGAAUAUUGCACAAUGGGCGAAAGCCUGAUGCAGCGACGCCGCGUGGGGGAUGACGGCCUUCGGGUUGUAAACCUCUUUCAGUAGGGAAGAAGCGAAAGUGACGGUACCUGCAGAAGAAGCGCCGGCUAACUACGUGCCAGCAGCCGCGGUAAUACGUAGGGCGCAAGCGUUGUCCGGAAUUAUUGGGCGUAAAGAGCUCGUAGGUGGCUUGUCGCGUCUGCCGUGAAAACCCGAGGCUCAACCUCGGGCGUGCGGUGGGUACGGGCAGGCUAGAGUGUGGUAGGGGAGACUGGAACUCCUGGUGUAGCGGUGAAAUGCGCAGAUAUCAGGAAGAACACCGAUGGCGAAGGCAGGUCUCUGGGCCAUUACUGACACUGAGGAGCGAAAGCAUGGGUAGCGAACAGGAUUAGAUACCCUGGUAGUCCAUGCCGUAAACGUUGGGCACUAGAUGUGGGGGACAUUCCACGUUUUCCGCGUCGUAGCUAACGCAUUAAGUGCCCCGCCUGGGGAGUACGGCCGCAAGGCUAAAACUCAAAGGAAUUGACGGGGGCCCGCACAAGCGGCGGAGCAUGCUGAUUAAUUCGAUGCAACGCGAAGAACCUUACCAAGGCUUGACAUGCACCGGACGGCCGCAGAGAUGUGGCUUUCUUCGGACUGGUGCACAGGUGGUGCAUGGUUGUCGUCAGCUCGUGUCGUGAGAUGUUGGGUUAAGUCCCGCAACGAGCGCAACCCUUGUUCUAUGUUGCCAGCACGUCAUGGUGGGGACUCAUAGGAGACUGCCGGGGUCAACUCGGAGGAAGGUGGGGACGACGUCAAAUCAUCAUGCCCCUUAUGUCUUGGGCUUCAAGCAUGCUACAAUGGUCGGUACAAUGGGUUGCGAAACUGUGAGGUGGAGCGAAUCCCAAAAAGCCGGCCUCAGUUCGGAUUGGGGUCUGCAACUCGACCCCAUGAAGUCGGAGUCGCUAGAAUCGCAGAUCAGCAAC